GACAGCGGUAGCUCAGUGGUUAGAGCAUUGGACUGUUGAUCGGAAGGUGUUGAGUUCAAAUCUCAGCACUGCCA
Non-coding RNA from Pangasianodon gigas (Mekong giant catfish), 74 nucleotides. The record is from the annotation of a GenBank genome assembly. Lineage: Eukaryota; Metazoa; Chordata; Actinopteri; Siluriformes; Pangasiidae.